ACAGACUGUCCGUUGUAAUUUGGCAGCAGCAUUUAAUGGCUCUGAGACCAAUGCCAAGGCCAUCAACCCUUCUGAACUUCAACCUCCUUAUCUGUAAAACAGAGGGAAUACAGGCUGACAUUUUAUGAGACUACUUGAGAUACUUUAGCAUCUGGCUCAAGAAAUGCUCAUUUUUUGUUUCUAAAUCAAGUGGCUGUAUCGUCACAAUGUUGAGAGUGCUGUUAUUCCUGUGUUCAUCAGCAAGCCACAGCUUUCUCAAAGAUGGUUGUCUCAAAUGAGUGAGAAGAGAUGCUGUCCCUAGGGGAAGAUGUUCUAACUCCAGUCUUUUUAAGAGAUUAGGUUUCCCAUGUGGAAGACUCGAAAAUCCAUGGGACCUGUGAGGGAAGGAGACUGAAGGAAGAGACAAGUAGAGGAAGCUGAUGAGAAGCUAUGAAGCAGCAGCCCUGCGGAAAGGCUUGGGAUCCAGUCACACGAGCCUGUAAGAGUGAUUUCUCCUCCAUGUCAUAACUCACCUGAUCCCAGGAGACAAAGGGAUAGAAGGUCCCAGUUGAUGUGGCCAGACCUCUAGGAUGGCCUAAGUGGGAACCUGGAUGGUCUUCCAUGAUCCAUUCAUUCCUUAAAGACUGUCCACUGGUGCCCAGAACUACUGUUGGUAUUGGGAAUAACACAGGGAAUAAAGACAUCUGCAUCAC
RNAcentral lists this long non-coding RNA (692 nucleotides) under Equus asinus (donkey). RNAcentral's name for it is "lncRNA (ENSEASG00005028573.1)". Lineage: Eukaryota; Metazoa; Chordata; Mammalia; Perissodactyla; Equidae. The record is from RNAcentral.